Suricata suricatta (meerkat) is the source of this 1266-nucleotide long non-coding RNA. RefSeq lists it as uncharacterized. The record is from RefSeq and is a predicted model, not a curated record. The transcript has 3 exons. Lineage: Eukaryota; Metazoa; Chordata; Mammalia; Carnivora; Herpestidae.
AGGCCCUCAGCCGGGGUGUUUGCAAACCGAGGCAAACAAGAAUCCAUUUAUUACAUUUUCUGAACUUGUUGUGUUGGCAGUAGACACAGGGGGCCGUGUUCUCUGUGUGUCCCCCAGUUCCUCAUCUUACAAGGACACCGGUCAUACUGGGUCAGGACCCACCUGCUCCAACACGACCAAGAAUUAUCACUAAUUACUUCUGCAAGCAUCCUAUUUCCAAAUACCAGCACAUUCCGUGGUCCUGGGGGUUCAGACGGGACCAAGUCUUUAUUCGGAGAAGGGACACUGACCUCUAACACACGCCCAGAGCAGCCGCCCAUCCUCCUUUGGUUCUGUUUCUUGGGCCAUGGACUGUGCUCACCAGGACGGGAGGACAGGGCGAGGCAGCGAAGACUGCGUCCUGGGGAUUGGCCUCGUCGCUGUGUUCAGGCUUAUAGUGGGAGCCACGGCAGCACCAGGAGCUAGGUGCAGGGGUUUCUUCUAGAAGAACUGGCAGUAUUUUCCGGGAACAGAUCUAGCUUCUGGCCCAGCUGAGCUGGGAGCUGAGCUGGGAGAGCUCCUGGCUGGGAGGAGUCCUGGCCCACCCCAACCCCCCCGCCCCCAGGUGAUGGGGACCUGGCUUCGGGGCUUCCCGCUCCGCCUGCCAGGAGCUGCCGGGAGCGCCAGUUCGGCUGCAGCUCAGAAAUGUGGUGACAGUACCAAUGCCAUCAGAUGCCAGCGCAGGCUGUUGGGGGGCUGGAAGGACUUGUCAAAUGUCACAGCGCCGCAUCCUGGGAAGCCGGUGUGCCCGGGAGAGAGAGGCCUGCAUGUGCCCCGUCACCAAAACAGAAAGCUUUAAGACAGCUGCUCAUUCCUGACGGGUGUGUUUGUGAAAUACUUGCUGCUGUCUGUCUACCUAAGUCGUAUACUAGCCACGCUUUGCCUUUAUUUGUUUAUUUAUUUUUUAAUCAAUCUGGCUAAGUUUUCAUGCUUUUACUGUGCGGCACGGUGACGUCUUCAGAGCUGAGGGCUCCCGGGGGGGAUGACGCGGUCUCUAGCGGCCCGGGCCACCACCCGCCUUAAGUCAGGCUUCCUUCUGCUGCGCCGUCGCGUCGUCCUCACUGUCAGUUAGCACUGCUGUGACACCAGCCUCUCUCCUGCUGCCCCUCACAUCCGCUCUCCGAUCUGCCUCGGCAGGGACAGGGCAGGCGGCUGAGUCACGCUGUGCCCACGCCCGGAUGUCCUUAGCCGAGGAUAGUGAAUCGCCCUGUACCUGAACCUUGGGGA